UACGUAGGUCCCGAGCGUUGUCCGGAUUUAUUGGGCGUAAAGCGAGCGCAGGUGGUUUAUUAAGUCUGGUGUAAAAGGCAGUGGCUCAACCAUUGUAUGCAUUGGAAACUGGCGGGCUGGAGUGCCGGAGAGGUAAGCGGAAUUCCUAGUGUAGCGGUGAAAUGCGUAGAUAUUAGGAGGAACACCAGUGGCGAAGGCGGCUUACUGGACGGCAACUGACGCUGAGGCUCGAAAGCGUGGGGAGCAAACAGG
Molecule: ribosomal RNA, 252 nt
Filed under: uncultured bacterium
Lineage: Bacteria
Description: partial 16S ribosomal RNA
Rfam family: Bacterial small subunit ribosomal RNA
Source: RNAcentral